AUUCGACUAAACCAUGCGAGGCGAGAGGGGUUAAGCCCUCGCCGCACUGCUGAGUAACACGUAGUUAACUUGCCCUUAGGUGGGGAAUAAUCUUGGGAAACUGAGGCCAAUGCCCCAUAGGUUUUGGAUACUGGAAUGUUCCAAAACUGAAAGAUCCGUCGCCUAAGGAUAGGACUGCGGCCUAUCAGGCUGUUGUCAGGAUAAAAACCUGACAAACCUAUAACGGGUAGGAGCCAUGAGAGUGGGAGCUUCCAGAUGCCUUCUGAGACAUGAAGGCAGGGCCUACGGGUCGCAGCAGGUGCGAAAACUUUCCAAUGCGUUCACGCGUGAGAAGGGAACUUUGAGUGGUUAUACUUUGUAUAAUCUUUUCUUCAGUUUAGAGUGCUGGAGGAAUAAGCGAUGGGCAAGACGGGUGCCAGCCGCCGCGGUAAUACCCGCGUCGCAAGUGGUGGUCACGAUUAUUGGGCCUAAAGCGUCCGUAGCCGGCUCAGCAAGUUUCUGGUGAAAUCCUGCAGCUAACUGCAGGGCUGCUGGGGAUACUACUGAGCUUG
Molecule: ribosomal RNA, 551 nt
Filed under: uncultured archaeon
Lineage: Archaea
Description: bacterial SSU rRNA
Rfam family: Archaeal small subunit ribosomal RNA
Source: RNAcentral